CAAAAGUCCCUGAACUCUCAAGCGAAUCCGUAAAUAAAUAUUCUGCCCAAGCGGAGAAGGAUGAGAAGCUUCGACUAAGGUUCGACUCGAGCGCCAGCGAGAGAGCGUUGCCGCAGGCAACGACCUGAAGGGCGAAGCGCGCAGCGCUGAGUAAUCCUUCCCCCACCACCA
RNAcentral lists this small RNA (171 nucleotides) under Escherichia coli O157:H7 str. EC4206. RNAcentral's name for it is "RtT RNA". The stretch from base 40 to 171 matches the Rfam family "RtT RNA". Rfam says of the family: This family represents a bacterial cis-regulatory element known as RtT RNA. The exact function of RtT is unknown although it is thought that it may be involved in changing the cellular response in relation to amino acid starvation. The record is from RNAcentral. RNAcentral also lists the same sequence under 9 other names. Lineage: Bacteria; Pseudomonadati; Pseudomonadota; Gammaproteobacteria; Enterobacterales; Enterobacteriaceae.